RNAcentral lists this long non-coding RNA (1202 nucleotides) under Anas platyrhynchos platyrhynchos (common mallard). RNAcentral describes it as "lncRNA (ENSAPLG00000018110.1)". The record is from RNAcentral. Lineage: Eukaryota; Metazoa; Chordata; Aves; Anseriformes; Anatidae.
UUCAGGUGAUUACAAGAGUCUAAUGGUGGAGGGUUAAAUGAAACACAGCAGAGAUAACAUCAGAACAUGCGGAGGAGACCUCCUGCUGUGCAAGGGGAAUGGCUGGUAAACUGCUUUUAGUGAUCUCUGGUGCCCAGCAGUGAAUUGACACAGCUAACUCACACCUUCUCGUGUUUAUUUUCAAGGAAAAGCAUCAUAUUUCUCUUAUGUCUUAUCAAAAUAGAAUUCCCAAGGACGAAUGGUUAGUCAUCUGGAGUAGGGCCAGGAAAAAAAGCUAACUUUUGUAGGCAGGACUUCAGGGUUUAUCCAGAUAGACCUGUAUGAAAAGCACACAGGGCUGAUUUCACUUAUUGAUGAACAGGGAUGGCUGCUGCUGCCCACGUGGCAGCACAAAUGUUUUUCCACACACUCAGGCCAAUGGAGGAGUGUUUUUGUAGGGGGUGAGGCUGCGGAACAGGAUCUAACCUCAGUUAGAGUCUGGAAGCUCAGCGUCCAUGCCACUAUCUGCAGGAUGUGUAGAUUUUAUUCAGCUUUGCUGGACGCCCUGAGGUACAGACCUUUGGAGGCUGGAAUAAUAUCCUGAGGAAGGAUUGCUCUGGGCUUCCCGUGUUCUACAGAUAUCCACAUAUCUGCAGAAUGAGACCCUGGGCCAGAUGACCUUUGGAUCAAGAGCUGUGCUGGCUGGUGUUAAGUUGCAAUAUUUUACUAUAAAGCCUUAUAAUUCAGCAUUGCCUUUACUAAGUUUGUAAAGGCAAUAGACUGAGACCUACCAGGAGUGCUUUGCCUGGACUUAUCUUGAUAUGCCUGCGACUUGUUUCACUUGAUUCAUCAGUAGCAGCAUUUUUUCUAAUUGAGCGAUUGUCUAUGGCUAAUUUGUUUUACUUUUGUUUACAUUUAUAUGAUUUUAUCACUUUGACAUACUGAUGUAGCAUAGAGUAAAACAGGUUUGCUAUGACAAAAAAGGUCUUGAAAAAUGGAGACAGAGGCUGUUGUGUAGAGGACCACAGGCAUGCGAUGAUAAGAGAUGUACAGGGCUGACAACAGACAGCAGUUGAAAUGAAGACCUGGACCUGGACAGAACUGGUUGUUUCAAGAGUAAUUACAAGAGCAAAGAUUACUGUAUGUAAAAGGCACCAUUUAUAGUAAAUUAAGUAGUAAUCUAGAGCUGCAGACCAAUAAAGAAAAAGCAGGGUGUAAAAGCA